RNAcentral lists this ribosomal RNA (255 nucleotides) under Rhizobium sp. USDA 1955. RNAcentral's name for it is "partial 16S ribosomal RNA". It matches the Rfam family "Bacterial small subunit ribosomal RNA", at positions 59 to 344 of the family's 1533-position model. Lineage: Bacteria; Pseudomonadati; Pseudomonadota; Alphaproteobacteria; Hyphomicrobiales; Rhizobiaceae. The record is from RNAcentral.
AAGUCGAGCGCCCCGCAACGGGAGCGGCAGACGGGUGAGUAACGCGUGGGAAUCUACCCUUUUCUACGGAAUAACGCAGGGAAACUUGUGCUAAUACCGUAUAAGCCCUUCGGGGGAAAGAUUUAUCGGGAAAGGAUGAGCCCGCGUUGGAUUAGCUAGUUGGUGGGGUAAAGGCCUACCAAGGCGACGAUCCAUACCUGGUCUGAAAGGAUGAUCAGCCACAUUGGGACUGAGACACGGCCCAAACUCCUACGG